AUUGAACGCUGGCGGCAGGCUUAACACAUGCAAGUCGAGCGAGCGGCGGACGGGUGAGUAAUGUCUGGGAAACUGCCUGAUGGAGGGGGAUAACUACUGGAAACGGUAGCUAAUACCGCAUACCAUCAGAUGUGCCCAGAUGGGAUUAGCUAGUUGGUGGGGUAACGGCUCACCAAGGCGACGAUCCCUAGCUGGUCUGAGAGGAUGACCCGCCAAACUGGAACUGAGAAACGGUCCAGACAAAUACGGGAGGCAGCAGUGGGGAAUAUUGCACAAGGGGCGCAAGCCUGAUGCAGCCAUGCCGCGUGUAUGAAGAAGGCCUUCGGGUUGUAAGAUACUUUCAGCGGGGAGACGUUACCCGCAGAAGAAGCACCGGCUAACUACGUGCCAGCAGCCGCGGUAAUUC
RNAcentral lists this ribosomal RNA (406 nucleotides) under uncultured bacterium. RNAcentral's name for it is "partial 16S ribosomal RNA". It matches the Rfam family "Bacterial small subunit ribosomal RNA", at positions 30 to 526 of the family's 1533-position model. The record is from RNAcentral.